This is a long non-coding RNA of Lolium rigidum, 277 nucleotides long. RefSeq lists it as uncharacterized. The transcript is spliced from 3 exons. Lineage: Eukaryota; Viridiplantae; Streptophyta; Magnoliopsida; Poales; Poaceae. The record is from RefSeq and is a predicted model, not a curated record.
AGCUGAUAGCAAGUUUAGUGAGCGUUGCCGGACGUCGAGGUGGUCUGGGUAAGGCUGACUGAGACCAGAUCCAUUGCAUCCUUAAUAUCCAAAACCCUCUGUCAAUGUUUGAGAAGUAUCACUGUGGAGAAGAUCGUGGUGAGAUUCAGAUUGAUGUGUUUUUGUUGUGUGCUUCCAACAUGUGUGCAGAACCAGAGCUCUCGUUAUUUUUACAUGAGGAUUUUGCUGCUAGGAUUUGGGUGUUCAGAAGAUUCAGAGACAGCGACGGCCAUCUGCA